This is a long non-coding RNA of Vespa mandarinia (Asian giant hornet), 1550 nucleotides long. NCBI's taxonomy places the organism in Eukaryota, Metazoa, Arthropoda, Insecta, Hymenoptera, Vespidae. The record is from RefSeq and is a predicted model, not a curated record.
GGUAUGACCUCAAGCCGGCUAUGUUAGUAAACAUGUAGGUUUAUUUAUUGUCCCUUUAUGGCAUCAAUUUCAGUCGUCUUACAGCUCUUUCAAAAUAUGUUUCGUUAUUGAAAAAUUCUCUUUUAAAAUUUUUUUCUAUGCUGUUCAAUAUGGAUAGAUAAAAGAAGUAUUUGAGACAUGUUAUGCUUCAUUGCUUUAAAAAAGGUAAUAGUGUAAAGGACACUACAAAUGAGAUUUGCACCGUUUAUGGGAAUGAUACUACGACUAUUAGAAUAUUGUCUGUAAUUGAUUUAAGAAAUUUAGAGCUGGCAACUUUGAUUUGAAAAAGAUGAAAACCGCAGCGACCGCCCAGGAAUGACGGAUACGGACCUCAUCAAGAAUAUGCUCGCUGAAAAUCCACGAGAUAGUGGAUGCCACUAACAAUCCCACGACAACGGUACAUAAUCAUUUAAUCAAGAUGAGAUAUGUGAACCGACCUUAUGAACUACAUCUCUACGUGCGAUUUCCUUCUUCAGCAAUAUGAAAAAAAUCCUUUUUUAAAGAUGCUCGUCACUGGAGAUGAGAUUUGGAUUUUAUAUCAAAUUGAAAAUGCACAUUGGUCUAAGGAAAAUCGAUCUUCAACUGUUGUAAAGCUAGGAUUUCAUCCAAAAAAAAAAAAAAAAAGAAAAAAAUUUAUGGGACACCCUAAUAUAUAUACACACACAAAUGUAUAAAAAGAAAUUAUAUUAUUCUGUUAUACCAGUUCGACAAGCGUUCGAUUUUCUUUCGUCAUUUCGCUUAUUCAAAUAUAAAAAAGGAAACAUCGCAAUGGAGGAUUCAGGAAACAAAACCAAAUGGAUUGUCAAUUGAAAAUACAAACUGAAACGAUUAGACCAAAGGCAAAGAAAGCGGAGCCUUCAAAAUCAAAAUCAAUUCAUCCUCCAACUUUUGAAAUAGUAAUUGUCGCUAUUAAAAGAGUUGAAAGAUCGUAAAGGUUCAAGCAAUUAGAAAAUAUAUUGUAGCAACUUAUAUUAGUUGGUAAGAAGAUAUAACGCCGUUUAUAAAGAAAUAUUUGAAGAAUGCUGUAUAUAAUGGUACGUUCGUGCAAACCAAAGAUAAGGGAGAUUCAGGAUCGUUUAAAAGCUUUCACCCGUGGUAAAAAGCGGUAAUGUAAAAGCAAAGGAAAAAUGCAUUACCAAUGGAAAAGAAAACUAUUACCGACGAAUCUAUUGAAAAGAAGAUAAGUGACAGCUCCCAAGACAUCAAUAAGUUUCGUUAAAAAACCUGUCGAUAAAAACAAGUCUUCUAAAGUUGUUACUAAAAACAAAUCUAAAGCUGUUACCACUGUUGCUACUGCUAUUGCUGCUGUCGCUAAAAAAAAAAAAAAGAUUUCGAAAAAAACGGCACAACCGAGAGAACUCUAUCAAAAACUAAGAAGACCAUGAAGGCAUCAGCUAGCAAAACUAAAUCUUCUCCCAAACUGAAGAAAGCAACAACUAGUAUCGUUCCUAAAAAUCCAAAGGUGUCGGAUUGAUAAAGAAAUAUAUUUAUGAGGUAUAUAAUAUCUCAUA